AAGCUGAACGGGACCGAAGCCGGGAGACGCCUCCCCGAGCUCGGGGACUGAGUGGCAGCGCGCUUGGGAACCCCAGGAGCCGCCGGGAUUGGACCCGUUCCCCGCCACCGUUAUUGCGCUCCCACGCGCGCUCCAAACCCCGGGGUGGGAGGGGGCUGGAGAAAGGACGCGAGGAAACCCGAAGAACAUUCAUUUUCUCUUUCCCAGGGAACCUGGGUCUGGGCAGGAACCCGGUUUCUCGCCAGCGAACUGCUCUCAGAGGCUACCGAGCGUUCCCGCCUCGCCGCAGGAACUCUUCUAGCUCGCCCUCGGGCUCUGGGGACCGCUCCACAGCGGGGCCUCCCGGAAUUCCCUGCCGGUCUCCGCGGGCACACUUGGCUGGCUGCUGCGACCAAAACUACCUUCGCGUGGCAGGGUCCUCCCUCCUCCUCACAGACACCCCGACAUCACCCUCAAAACUGGAAGGGACAACCCCGAGUGAUCUAGAGACCAGUGAGGCAGGGCAGGAGACACUCAGCAGUUUCCCUCGUGCGGGAUCUCUAAUAAGAGGCUGGCAGAAAAGUUCCUGUGCUUCCCAUCCUCUGCCCAGCUCUAGGGUCUCAGAGAGAAUCACCUCCAUCCCACCUACCUCACAGGAUGGCUGUGCACAUUCAUUCAUUCAGUCAACUAUUUUUUAUUGAGUAUCUACUAUGUGCCAGACACUGUUUUGCCACAGAUGAUGU
Molecule: long non-coding RNA, 722 nt
Filed under: Homo sapiens (human)
Lineage: Eukaryota; Metazoa; Chordata; Mammalia; Primates; Hominidae
Description: non-protein coding ACTN1-AS1:12
Source: RNAcentral